Molecule: long non-coding RNA, 939 nt
Filed under: Pan troglodytes (chimpanzee)
Lineage: Eukaryota; Metazoa; Chordata; Mammalia; Primates; Hominidae
Description: lincRNA
Source: RNAcentral
GAAAGAAUAUUGAUUGAACAUCUACUCAAGAACUGCAAAACAGAGAUUACCUGACCUAAAGGAGUCCAUUCUCAAUUUUCUGUGCAAAUUGGGGAAGGCUGUUGAUAAUCGGUGGAUGCUAUAGUACCCAUGGAAAGACUCUAGUCUGAAGAUACCAGCCUCUCCCUCCCAAGAUCACCUCCCCUGACCAACCUUCUGCACUCCUGACAGAUACAAGGGAGCAGGCAAGUUGCACCCAACCUAACAGUAAAUUGCAGGGACAUUUCCAUUCUAAGGAAGGAAUUUUUGUGUGUGUUGCAACUCAGCUUCUGCUCUGGCAUUUUGCUGUGCAUUUAUAUUGCCAAUCAUGUUGGAGAGUCCAUGUGGUGAUUUCUGAAAAUGAGAUGUGAGAAAGAAGAGGAUAAUUUAAGUCUAGACCUACAGAUUGUGCUGAUAAAGUGACGAAGAACUACAAUCUUCUUAGUCAUUUCAUUGUAUAAGUGCAAUAAACGAUUUUGUGUCUUUCCUGGCAAACAACUUGUGACCACAGUGAUGGCUCCAGCAGAAUGGAAAAGACCCUUUACCUCACAUCUCAGAAGUAAAGAUGCUGAUUAUUUGACAUUGCCAUUGCAAUCUCAAAACAGUGUAAAGCAUUUGCUAAAAAGAGUCACUUUCUGAGAAAUGACUCAGAAUUCGACUUACGUACUAGCAGAACUUAUUGCCCAUAAAAGGAAAGGCCACACUUUUUGUGAAAACUUAAUAAUCCCUAGGAUGUAAAAUUAUACUGAGUUAAAUCCUAGGCCCAUUUUUAGUAUAAGAAAUUGGAAAAAAAUAAUCCACUCUCAAAUGGUAAGACAAAUUGAGAUAUUGCUGAAAAGCCUCUUGACCCUGAAAAGGUUCUGAAUAAUGAACUCAUAAAAGCAGCAGCAGCAUCUAACUUGACACCAGUCAUGUCAUUUG